This 553-nucleotide ribosomal RNA is filed under the name Pantoea stewartii. RNAcentral's name for it is "bacterial SSU rRNA". It matches the Rfam family "Bacterial small subunit ribosomal RNA", at positions 68 to 610 of the family's 1533-position model. The record is from RNAcentral. Lineage: Bacteria; Pseudomonadati; Pseudomonadota; Gammaproteobacteria; Enterobacterales; Erwiniaceae.
GGUAGCACAGAGGAGCUUGCUCCUCGGGUGACGAGUGGCGGACGGGUGAGUAAUGUCUGGGAAACUGCCCGAUGGAGGGGGAUAACUACUGGAAACGGUAGCUAAUACCGCAUAACGUCGCAAGACCAAAGUGGGGGACCUCCGGGCCUCACACCAUCGGAUGUGCCCAGAUGGGAUUAGCUUGUAGGCGGGGUAACGGCCCACCUAGGCGACGAUCCCUAGCUGGUCUGAGAGGAUGACCAGCCACACUGGAACUGAGACACGGUCCAGACUCCUACGGGAGGCAGCAGUGGGGAAUAUUGCACAAUGGGCGCAAGCCUGAUGCAGCCAUGCCGCGUGUAUGAAGAAGGCCUUCGGGUUGUAAAGUACUUUCAGCGGGGAGGAAGGUGNUGAGGUUAAUAACCUCAGCNAUUGACGUUACCCGCAGAAGAAGCACCGGCUAACUCCGUGCCAGCAGCCGCGGUAAUACGGAGGGUGCAAGCGUUAAUCGGAAUUACUGGGCGUANAGCGCACGCAGGCGGUCUGUUAAGUCAGAUGUGAAAUCCCCGGGCUU